GGCGGACGGGUGAGUAACGCGUGGAUAACCUGCCUCNCNNUGGGGGAUAACAGUUAGAAAUGACUGCUAAUACCGCAUAAGCGCACAGUGCCGCAUGGCAGUGUGUGAAAAACUCCGGUGGUGUGAGAUGGAUCCGCGUCUGAUUAGCCAGUUGGCGGGGUAACGGCCCACCAAAGCGACGAUCAGUAGCCGACCUGAGAGGGUGACCGGCCACAUUGGGACUGAGACACGGCCCAAACUCCUACGGGAGGCAGCAGUGGGGAAUAUUGCACAAUGGGCGAAAGCCUGAUGCAGCGACGCCGCGUGAGUGAAGAAGUAUUUCGGUAUGUAAAGCUCUAUCAGCAGGGAAGAAAAUGACGGUACCUGACUAAGAAGCCCCCGGCUAACUACGUGCCCAGCCAGCCGCGGUAAUACGUAGGGGGCAAGNCGUUAUCCGGAUUUACUGGGUGUAAAGGGAGCGUAGACGGCGAAGCAAGUCUGAAGUGAAAACCCAGGGCUCAACCCUGGGACUGCUUUGGAAACUGUUUUGCUAGAGUGUCGGAGAGGUAAGUGGAAUUCCUAGUGUAGCGGUGAAAUGCGUAGAUAUUAGGAGGAACACCAGUGGCGAAGGCGGCUUACUGGACGAUAACUGACGUUGAGGCUCGAAAGCGUGGGGAGCAAACAGGAUUAGAUACCCUGGUAGUCCACGCCGUAAAACGAUGAAUGCUAGGUGUUGGGGGGCAAAGCCCNUUCGGUGNCCGCCGCAAACGCAGUAAGCAUUCCACCUGGGGAGUACGUUCGCAAGAAUGAAACUCAAAGGAAUUGACGGGGNACCCGCACAAGCGGUGGAGCAUGUGGUUUAAUUCGAAGCAACGCGAAAAAACCUUACCAAGUCUUUGACAUCCCCCUGAACGGGCCGGUAACGCGGCCUUUCCUUCGGGACAGGGGAGACAGGUGGUGNANGGUUGUCGUCAGCUCGUGUCGUGAGAUGUUGGGUUAAGUCCCGCAACGAGCGCAACCCUUAUCCUUAGUAGCCAGCACGUGAAGGUGGGCACUCUAGGGAGACUGCCAGGGAUAACCUGGAGGAAGGUGGGGAUGACGUCAAAUCAUCAUGCCCCUUAUGAUUUGGGCUACACACGUGCUACAAUGGCGUAAACAAAGGGAAGCGAGACAGUGAUGUGGAGCAAAUCCCAAAAAUAACGUCCCAGUUCGGACUGUAGUCUGCAACCCGACUACACGAAGCUGGAAUCGCUAGUAAUCGCGAAUCNUAAAGGNGCGGUGAAUACGUUCCCGGGUCUUGUACACACCCCCUUUUAGGGGNCAUGGGAGUCAGCAACGCCCGAAGUCAGUGACCCAACCGAAAGGAGG
Molecule: ribosomal RNA, 1347 nt
Filed under: bacterium NLAE-zl-C196
Lineage: Bacteria
Description: 16S ribosomal RNA
Rfam family: Bacterial small subunit ribosomal RNA
Source: RNAcentral